UGAUCGGCGCUCCACCCUGAC
RNAcentral lists this unclassified non-coding RNA (21 nucleotides) under Mus musculus (house mouse). Its description in RNAcentral is "oocyte_clustered_small_RNA9870". Lineage: Eukaryota; Metazoa; Chordata; Mammalia; Rodentia; Muridae. The record is from RNAcentral.